This 330-nucleotide long non-coding RNA is filed under the name Trifolium pratense (red clover). Its description in RNAcentral is "long non-coding RNA (TPRA_LNC010230)". The record is from RNAcentral. Lineage: Eukaryota; Viridiplantae; Streptophyta; Magnoliopsida; Fabales; Fabaceae.
UACAUCUUCAUAUGAGACUUGAGCUUUUUCAAUGUAUUUGUUAUGGUUAUGGGUUAUAUAAUACAUGAAACCAUCUCGCAUAUAACGUAUGAAAGGUGUAGGUUAUGGUUAUGGUUUUUGGCUAUGUAUUGUUUUUCUCUUCUUUUUCACAUCUUCAUAAUAAAGAUGCAGUCAAGGUUAUGGGUUGUUGAUUUCAUGAUUUCUUCUUUUUCUUCGUCUUCAUCAUCUUCUUCCAUCUUCACAGAUCUGAACCUUAGCGCUCUGAUGCCACUGAUAUGGUUUUUUGUGUUUUUGUAUUGCGGAAUUUGGUGAGAUAUAAAUUUAGGGAGA